UUUUAUGGAGAGUUUGAUCCUGGCUCAGGAUGAACGCUGGCGGCGUGCCUAAUACAUGCAAGUCGAGCGAACGGACGAGAAGCUUGCUUCUCUGAUGUUAGCGGCGGACGGGGGAGUAACACGUGGAUAACCUACCUAUAAGACUGGGAUAACUUCGGGAAACCGGAGCUAAUACCGG
This 178-nucleotide ribosomal RNA is filed under the name Staphylococcus aureus. RNAcentral describes it as "partial 16S ribosomal RNA". It matches the Rfam family "Bacterial small subunit ribosomal RNA", at positions 1 to 172 of the family's 1533-position model. The record is from RNAcentral. Lineage: Bacteria; Bacillati; Bacillota; Bacilli; Caryophanales; Staphylococcaceae.